AACGAACGCUGGCGGCGCGCCUAAUACAUGCAAGUCGAACGAGAAGCUGUAGCAAUACAGUUGUACAGUGGCGAACGGGUGAGGAAUACAUGGGUGACCUACCCUCGAGUGGGGAAUAACCAGCCGAAAGGUUGGCUAAUACCGCGUACGUUUCCCAGUCUGCGGGUUGGGAAGGAAAGCGAUGCCGUGGGUAUCGCGCUCAAGGUUGGGCUCAUGUCCUAUCAGCUUGNGGUGGGGUAACGGCUCACCAAGGCAACGACGGGUAGCUGGUCUGAGAGGACGAUCAGCCACACUGGCACUGCGACACGGGCCACGACCCCGUACGGGAGGCANCAGUAAGGAAUAUUGCGCAAUGGGCGAAACGCCUGACGCAGCGACCGCCG
Molecule: ribosomal RNA, 383 nt
Filed under: uncultured bacterium
Lineage: Bacteria
Description: bacterial SSU rRNA
Rfam family: Bacterial small subunit ribosomal RNA
Source: RNAcentral